This is a long non-coding RNA of Belonocnema kinseyi, 223 nucleotides long. RefSeq lists it as uncharacterized. The transcript is spliced from 3 exons. Lineage: Eukaryota; Metazoa; Arthropoda; Insecta; Hymenoptera; Cynipidae. The record is from RefSeq and is a predicted model, not a curated record.
CUUCAUCAGCGCAGCUACUCUGAAGAAGAGACGAUCUUUCAUUUCAUUGCAAGAUGCUAAUACAACUGACGAGGAGAUGAGACUGUUGAAUUUUACGCAUCCAAUGCUCAUUGUAAAAGAUUGGGAUACAGGCAAGAGAUGAGCUGAAAGUAUACGCUUAUAUCGUUUCCCGCAGUACAAUAAACUAUGGUCGCAUAGAUUUUGUCUAUCGGGUAUCAUUACA